UCUGCACAGCAAAAUCCCCACUCGUGGGCAGAGGCCCUUCCCUGCAGAGCUGGCCCAGGUCAGUUUGCUCUGGUCAGCAGACCACGGUUAGAUGACAGGCAAGCCGGGCCCUGGGAAAUGCGGGCGGCUGCUGGGGCUGCCCCAGCUCCACCGCGGCCCUGGGCUCUGGGUCAGACUUGUCUGCAGCACAGCAAACCCCUGCUGGAAUCGCUGGGACUUGUCUGCCGGGAACACCGGAGCAGAGGACGGAGUCCUGGUGAUGUGCUCUCAAAGUGUGCGGAGUUCCGAGUGGAGCCGUCUGAAUGCUUCGGAGACUAAACAGGAACACACAGAUGUGCAGUCACAGAGGCCCAGAUCCCCGCCAGAGGAAACAGGACCACUCUGAACUGGAGGACCGGGACCUGACUUGGGGAAAACUUCCUGGAGGAGAUGGUAUGGAAGGUGAUUCUGGGAUUGGUGCAGCAACGUGGCACCGUCCACAAGAACUAAGGCUCCCGCACCAGUCUCGGCACCUCCGUGGUGUCAUUCCUCAUGACAGCAAGGUGGUUGCUGUGGCUCCAGGCUCUGCGGCUAUGUUACAGCAUCCACAGCAGGAAACGCAAGGAGACAUUUGGUUACCAUGACUGUGAGCCACCAACAUCCAGUGGGUAGAGGUCAGAGAGGCUGCUGCAGGGAGCAAGUCCUUACAAAGGAGCAUUCCCGAAACGUCAACAGCCCCGAGGAGAGAAGCCCUGGUCUCAGCUGACUGGGUGCCCUCAGCCCCAUCUGGAGCUUGGGCACCAAGGAUCCAGUCUCACGGUUCAGCUGCCGUGGAAGCCCAGACACGCCAGGAUCCCGGAGGCGCUGCAAAGCCACAACCACGUGAUGUUCCAGGGAAGUUCGAAUGUGAAAAAUGCAGCGUGGAGGCCAUCAGAGGUCUCGGAUGGGCGGGGGAAGACUUUCCACACAGCCGUGUGCUCCUGUUCGUCUGCGAGCACAGACGCGAGCCAGGUCUGCGGUUCCCAGCACACCCCCUCCGGGAAGCACAGGCUGCCUCGUGCCGACCAGAUGCCGGGGGUCUUUGCAGGACGUGGCUUCCGGUCUUUCUCCUGCUGCCUCUGCAGAUUUCCGUUGCACUGCUGUAGUCAUGUAGGCUCUUGUCUAUUUCUUCCUGUGAGUUUUUCAAGGCAUCGCUAGUUUGCGGGUCUUGUUAAGAGGGGGCGUGCUGGUGGGAAGUGGGCAGGAAGCUGAGAAGCCAGCACUGCCAAUUUACCGUAAAUGCAGCUUGAAUACAACCACACCGGACCUUGGAACCUGGUCUCUGGCACUUCCGCCGGGGGUUUCUGGUUUGGCCUCGUUCUCUGAGACACGAAGUUGGCCCUCAUCAUUUUCUCGCCCCAGACAGCUUCCUUUUCCUGUUUCUGGUUUACCUGGUAUCAACCCUGAGCCUUAUUGUCUAGAAAUGUGAGUUUGAGCUCUGCUGGGUGGGUGUGGGUACAAGCACACCAACGGUGUGUGAGCUCACGCGUGUGGGCAUGGAUGGUGUCAUCUGUCUAUUCUGUUCACCCAGGUUGGCAGGGCACGUUCUGGGCCCUUUAGUAGUGAGGACGUGGUUCUCCUUCCAGCACACUCACACUGGGAAACCAACAGCUGACAAGGAGAAGAAGUUCUGCUCCAAGGGAAAACAACAGACUUUAAGUGAUCCAAGGGUCAACAGUAUCUAAAGGGGGAAAAAAUAAACUGGAGUGAAAAUGCAAACACAACACAGCAGACUUUGUUACCAUAGUGCUACAGGGAAAUGCAUGGCAGUGUGUGCCCACGUUAGGAAAGACCAACUGUUCACAUGAUUUAUGUCUUCUUCUAAGAACCCAGAAAGAGUAAAAUAAACCCCAAGAAAGUAGAAGAAAGGAAAAAAUUAAAAGGGUAGAAUUAAAAAAAAAUUGAAAACGGGGUGGGGGGGGCGACGCUAUGGCAUAGUGGGUUAAAGAUCCAGCCUGCAGUGCCAGCUACCCAUAUAGGCAUCAGUUCAAGUCCUGGCUGCUCCACUUCCCAUCCAGCACUCUGCUAUGGCCUGGGAAAGCAGCAGAGGGUGGCCCAGGUCCUUGGGCCCCUGCACCUGCAUAGGAGACCUGGAAGAAGCUCCUGGCUCCUGGCUUCAGAUUGGCUCAGUUCUGGUCAUUGUAGCUAUUUGGGGAGUGAACCAGCAGAUGGAAGACCUCUCUCUUUCUCUCUCUCUACCUAUCUCUGUAACUCUUCCAAAUAAAUAAAAAUACAUCUUAAAGUAAUAAAACAUAAAAACAAUGGAGAAAUGAAACAUUUAUGAAAUCCAUGCACACUAGGCAUCUUCAAAAAGUUCUUGGAAAAUGUGUAUUAUGGAAGAACUAUGCGUGGAUUCCAAAACAUUUUUGCACCCACCAAAAUAAGCUUACCUUUUAACUCUAUUUUCCAUGAACUUUUUGAAGUAUCCCUGUAUUACACUGAAACUAAAACUAGAGAUAACAGAAAAAGUAAAUAACUGCAGAGUAAUAUGAAUGUAGUUGAAAAAUUCUUAACAAAAUAUUAAAUGUGGGGCUUAUUCCAGAGACGCAAGCCUGGUUCAACCCUUAAGGCGAGCCAAGGUGAUCAGCUGUACGGAAAGGCUAAAGAAGAAAACCGUCUGAUAUUAUUCACUGGCACAGAGAAGGCAUUUGAAAAAACACCCAUUAUAAACAUUUCAGAAAAACUAGAGGUAGGGAGACUUUACCAAAACCCCACAGCCUAUCACCCACACCGUGAAAGCCUGUUUCUGCCCAGGAAUGGGAACAAGGACAAGCCGGCUGCUCUCCCCACUGACUCCAUAAGCACCGGAAGGCCUCGCCAGAACAGCAGGGCAAGAAAGGAAAUCAAGGGUGUACGGAUCAGAGAGGAAGGAAUAACUUGGUUGCCAUGUGCUGAUGCCAUGACGGUUUAUAUGGAAAAUGCUCACGAAGCUCCAAAGACAAAGGGAAGCAACACCACUACCAACUCCUCGCAUAGCAGCUGAGUUCAGCCAAGUCGCCAGAUCUAAGAAGACAACUGUAUUUCUUUCUUUCUUUUUUUUUUUUUUUUUUGACAGGCAGAGUGGACAGUGAGAGAGAGAGACAGAGAGAAAGGUCUUCCUUUGCCGCUGGUUCACCCUCCAAUGGCCGCCGCGGCCGGCGCGCUGCAGCUGGCGCACCGCGCUGAUCUGAUGGCAGGAGCCAGGAGCCAGGUGCUUUUCCUGGUCUCCCAUGGGGUGCAGGGCCCAAGCACCUGGGCCAUCCUCCACUGCACUCCCUGGCCACAGCAGAGAGCUGGCCUGGAAGAGGGGUAACCGGGACAGAAUCCGGCGCCCUGACCGGGACUAGAACCCAGUGUGCUGGCGCUGCAAGGCGGAGGAUUAGCCUAGUGAGCCACGGCGCCGGCGACAACUGUAUUUCUAUAGAUUAUCAACAAACACAGCAAGUCCAAGUUAAGGUACCGUAUCACUUACAAUCUCUCUUGAAAAGAGAUUAUGAAUGAAUCAAAAGGACAUGUACAAAACAUAUAUACUGAAAACCAUAAAAAGUUGCUGAAAUAAAUCGAAGAAGAUAUACAGAAGUAAGUGGAUCUACAUAGGGUGUUCCUCUGUUGUAAGACUCAUCAUAGAAAAAAGGUCACCUUUUCCCCAAAUAACAUAUACAAAUCAUGCAAUUCCUAUCAAAAUCUUCCACUAUUUUUCAUAGUUAAAGAUGAGCUUAUCUGAAAGUUUACAUGGGCAGGCAAGGGAACCUGAGCAGCCGAAACACUUUGAAGAAGGAGAACGCGUCUCUCUGGUUCAGUCCGAAUCCGGAGGCUCCAGAGUCAGGAAAAAAGAAGAAUGUAACUCAGGCUGAGGCUGAAGGCUGGAGAAGCUGAACUUGUGAUGGCCAAGAGCAGGAGAAGAUGGUGUUCCAGCUCCAAGAGACGGAGAGGAAGGUGGGGAGGGGGAGGGGGAGGGG
Molecule: non-coding RNA, 3956 nt
Organism: Oryctolagus cuniculus (rabbit)
Lineage: Eukaryota; Metazoa; Chordata; Mammalia; Lagomorpha; Leporidae
Source: RefSeq, a predicted model, not a curated record